RNAcentral lists this unclassified non-coding RNA (329 nucleotides) under soil metagenome. RNAcentral describes it as "partial contains 5.8S ribosomal RNA, internal transcribed spacer 2, and large subunit ribosomal RNA". The stretch from base 1 to 120 matches the Rfam family "5.8S ribosomal RNA", at positions 35 to 154 of the family's 154-position model. The record is from RNAcentral.
GAUGAAGAACGCAGCGAAAUGCGAUAAGUAAUGUGAAUUGCAGAAUUCAGUGAAUCAUCGAAUCUUUGAACGCACAUUGCGCCCCCUGGUAUUCCGGGGGGCAUGCCUGUCCGAGCGUCAUUACAACCCUCAAGCUCAGCUUGGUGUUGGGCCCCGCCGCCCCGGCGGGCCCUAAAGUCAGUGGCGGUGCCGUCCGGCUCCGAGCGUAGUAAUUCUUCUCGCUCUGGAGGUCCGGUCGUGUGCUCGCCAGCAACCCCCAAUUUUUUUCAGAUUGACCUCGGAUCAGGUAGGGAUACCCGCUGAACUUAAGCAUAUCAAUAAGCGGAGGA